RNAcentral lists this ribosomal RNA (246 nucleotides) under uncultured Lactobacillus sp. Its description in RNAcentral is "partial 16S ribosomal RNA". It matches the Rfam family "Bacterial small subunit ribosomal RNA", at positions 116 to 355 of the family's 1533-position model. The record is from RNAcentral. Lineage: Bacteria; Bacillati; Bacillota; Bacilli; Lactobacillales; Lactobacillaceae.
CGUGGGUAACCUGCCCAAUAGAUCGGGAUAACACCUGGAAACAGAUGCUAAUACCGGAUAACAAUAGAUGAUGCCUAUCAACUGUUUAAAAGAUGGUUCUGCUAUCACUCUUGGAUGGACCUGCGGUGCAUUAGCUAGUUGGUAGGGUAACGGCCUACCAAGGCGAUGACGCAUAGCCGAGUUGAGAGACUGAUCGGCCACAUUGGGACUGAGACACGGCCCAAACUCCUACGGGAGGCAGCAGCC